CCGGUCCAGCCUGAACUGCCGUAGUUUUCAGCUGUUUCUGAGGUGGAGGCUGAUUAAUGGGCUCAACAGGUUGAUCUGGUUGCUGAUGCUCUGGCGCAGCACGCCUUCUAUUUCCACGUCUACCUCUGUUGACCACUUGGACAACUUUUUCAGGGACGGGUUCCUCUUCAGGUGCAGGUUCUUCAUGAGGAGCAGGUUGUUGAACCCUAACGUCGUUGACCCUGGGCCGUAAUCUCCGACGAUAUUCAUUCCUUCUCCUAGGCAUUUUAUAAAUGAAAUCAAUAUUAGUAUAAUGUUUAUAAAUAAAUAAAUAUGUUCUAAUUUAUAAAACAGAUUACAUUGAUGCUUCGGCUGCAUAUAGAUAAAAUCGUUAAUUUAACAACUGUUCCGUAC
This 393-nucleotide long non-coding RNA is filed under the name Mytilus galloprovincialis (Mediterranean mussel). Lineage: Eukaryota; Metazoa; Mollusca; Bivalvia; Mytilida; Mytilidae. The record is from RNAcentral.